This 500-nucleotide ribosomal RNA is filed under the name uncultured bacterium. Its description in RNAcentral is "bacterial SSU rRNA". It matches the Rfam family "Bacterial small subunit ribosomal RNA", at positions 28 to 531 of the family's 1533-position model. The record is from RNAcentral.
GACGAACGCUGGCGGCGUGCCUAACACAUGCAAGUCGAGCGGGGUUGAAGCGAGGGGUAACUCGAACUUCUACCUAGCGGCGGACGGGUGAGUAACGCGUGGGCAACCUGCCUCAAGGUCUGGGAUAACAGCUCGAAAGGGCUGCUAAUACCGGAUAUGCCUAUAGCCUCGCAUGGGGCUAUGAGCAAAGGGGAAACCCGCCUUGAGAUGGGCCCGCGUCCCAUCAGCUAGUUGGUGAGGUGAAGGCUCACCAAGGCGACGACGGGUAGCCGGCCUGAGAGGGUGACCGGCCACACUGGGACUGAGACACGGCCCAGACUCCUACGGGGGGCAGCAGUGGGGAAUCUUGCACAAUGGGCGAAAGCCUGAUGCAGCGACGCCGCGUGAGCGAAGAAGGCCUUCGGUUGUAAAGCUCUGUCUGGAGGGACGAAGAAAGUGACGGUACCUCCGGAGGAAGCCACGGCUAACUACGUGCCAGCAGCCGCGGUAACUAGUCUACG